This is a non-coding RNA of Lolium perenne, 6402 nucleotides long. Lineage: Eukaryota; Viridiplantae; Streptophyta; Magnoliopsida; Poales; Poaceae. The record is from RefSeq and is a predicted model, not a curated record.
UACUUAUGUAUCUUUGUACGGCGGUAUGCAAAAUGUUUGGUCCAUCGACUAAUCGGUGUGUAUGCCAGUUUUUUAAUGUAGUAUAUCAAAUAUUUUUUACCCGUGACCAUUGUAUUGGUUCAGGUGUUCAGUGUUAACAUUCAGCUGUUGGGUUGCUAUCCGAGAAUUCAGAACAAGAAGAAGGCAGAAGUUUAUGUUGAUUAACAUGACAAGACGGUGAAUAUACCCGGUAAAUGCUCCAAAGCAUUAGCCUUCGAUGGAGCCGGCAAAGAAUCUUUGCAAAUGUUACAAAAAAAAACAUAGUAGUGAUAUUACCAGAUGGCACAUAUAGUUUUCCACUUGCAGAAGCAGCCACGUUACUGACUAUGUUUAGCCAACUGCAGAUCAAGUAUUACUUCCUGUUAAAAAAAAGUAUUACUUACAAUUCCGAAGUGGUGUAUGUAUAUUAAGAUUUGUACAUGACUGCUCAUUUUGGAACCUUUCUUCAUAUAAGCACCAGGUUUGUUGAACUUUACACCUUUUUGGUUUGAUUAAAUUGAUAGAAACUUGAUGUUGUCAUCACUUCUUUUGGUGCAUGGUUUCAGGAGAUAAACACAUCCAGCUGUUUCAUUUGAACUUCAUUUGUUUGAUUAAAAAAUUGAGCAAUGAUAUGUUAUACAUUGGGUCUCAGAUUUAAAUUUGCUUUGGAAUACAAAUGUGUGAUUUAUUUGAUCAUGGUUGUUAUUCUUCUAACAGGUUACAAUCACAUGGCCAGUGACAUGUGCAAUAAGCGGUAGUUUUGGGCUUCUUUUCUUGUGAGUGCCGGCAUUACAAGGGGCCCUAAUCCAGCCAAAGGAUCAGCAGAAUUGGUUGUCUAAUUCAUGAACAUUUGUCAGAGACAUGGUUAAGAAUUAGAAAUGUAUGCUGGAGUGAGCGGAAACCACAGAUUGUUAUGGAAGCAAAGAGGCAGUCAAAAGAACUGGGGUGUAGACAAAGUUGACGUCUUGCAACAGUUUUGUUGGAGGACUUGACUCAAAGGAGUAUAUUCAGACUGGAUUCUUACCGGCUACAUGGCGUUUUGGCACCGUUAACAGUACAUGGCAGAGCAAUGCUUUGCAUCUACUGGUUAUUGAGAAAUCCGAAUUCUGACUUCUUCACUCUAGCAUUAUAUCUUUUAUUUGUCUCACCAUCUAGAACUUUUUCUUUGGAAAUGAAAGCUUAAUACGUUGAUUACUCUAUACCACGGUAAUGAAUUAUAAUAUAUGUUUGCCUUAUAAUGUCAACCUGUAGAUAGAGAGUUCUUGUGUUUAUGAGGCAUAAAUACAAGAACCAUGUAUCUACAGGUUGACAUUAUAAGGCAUAAACUAUCUAACUUCUCUUGCGGUGCUAUGGUGUACCACUUUAGGUACGUACAAGUACAAUCUUUGGAAUGCUAUUAGCAUGGUUGAUUCAACAAGUAAAGCAUGGUCUCGGUAUCUAAAUACAGUAGCAGAACCAAGUUAAUCUUCUUUUAUGUCAUAUUGUUAUUUGAAACAAGUAGCCUCCCUUUUAAUCAAAUAAUAUGAUCCUCUGUUCUACUCAAGGUCCAUAGUUCAUGGUAUAAAAUAUAUGCAUUUCACCGCAACACUUCAGUACUCGAGGGCAAAAUAUAGAACCUCCUAUACUUCAUUGGUAAAAUUAUUUCUUAGAGCUACAUGGGGUCCUCUUUAUUAUGUACCCUUCUUUUUUUCUGCAUCUCCUUGCUUGGUUUACAUAAACAUAGAAGGCUACAAUAUUUGUUUUAUCGUCUUUGGUUAACGAUUAAUGCAUUGACAGAUGCUGAUCCGUAGAGCCUGUAAAUUUCUUUUUGUGGGUAUCUUUGUGUAGAAGUGUAACUGUAACCAGUGACAUAGGACAGUCGUGUUGCCGCAGUCCAAUAUUCAGGUACACAAGAAAUAAAGUAUUUCAGAAAUCAUGGUGCUAAUUCAUUUUUUCAUAUUUAUAGUUUUGGUCUUUUUGGUUAAAUAAGAUAGUGCAAAAGAUCCUACAAAAAGGUUGUGCUUUCUAUUUCAAAGUAACAAGUUAUUAUAGAAGUCAAGAAAUUAAAUAAAUCAUACAUUUACCUCCAUAUUUUUUUAGGUCCUCGGCAACAAUAUCCCAUCUCAAUAACUUUAGUUAGAUAUGAACGAACGAUAUGGUAUUGAAAGUUGUAGUCGUUUUUUAUGAAAUAUCAUAAGAACUGUACAAGAUCCAACAAAAAUGCGUUCUUCGAAGAUCCAACAAAAAUGCGUUAUUCCUAUUUACAAAGUAAUAGCCCACUACAGAACGUAAUGGAUGUGUUAUAUGUUCCAACCAAGCUAGGUAUGAAAGCAAAUUAAUUUACAAGAAAAAAUAUGUUAUACAUUUUCCAAUAUGGCAAGAUCCAGUAAGUCUUCCUCUUUGCUGCAUUUGUCUUACAGUCUGAAAUAGCAACAAUACGUUAAGCAUGGGUCCUCAACAACAAUAUGAUACCUCCAUAUUUUCUAGGUCCUCAGUAACGAUAUUAUAUCUCAUUAACUUUAGUUAUAAAGGAGCAAUAUGAUUCCUAGGUACUGCUAAGUAUAAUUUAUCUUUUGUUUCCAUUGUCGGUUGUAGGGCUGAUUGGAUUUUUCUUCAGAUUGUCCUGCAAGUAUCCCUGUUUUUUCUGAUUUUGUUUGUUCUUUUCUAAAUGGAAUUCACUCUUAUCUCUUCGUGAAGAUUAACCUACAACUGCAAAUGUAUUGUUGUCAACUUUGUUAUAUUUUCUCAUUAUCAUUGUAGUAAGGCAUCAUGACAUCUUAGCUUCACUUUGUUUGAAAUAUCCAGUUGAAUGCUAUCAUGGUUUGCAACAGUAUUGUUUAACAACAGGAAGAACAAGAGUUAAUUGAUCUUCUUACUUACCAUGUUUAGUGUUCAUUCUUUAAGAGGGACAUUACAGCAACAUGUAAGCAAUUGGUGGAUGAUGCAAGCAAAUAUAUAGCUUAAUAAAGCGCCCGUUAUCGAAAAAAUAGCUUAAUGUCCAUCGUGGAACAAUAUUGAGCCAACUCAGGCAUGCUUCUCUCAUGUUCACUACCAUCUUACAUAUCGUAAGUGCAGACCACUAGCAUGUAAUUUGUGGCAAUGUACGUGUAUCAACUUACCGUGAGAUUGUAUAAAUUGUUGUCAAAUAUGUAAUCAACUGCUAUGCCAAUCUGCCAUUGAACUGAGAAUCGCCUGACAGCAAUUGCUACUACCUUACACCAAAAGACAAUUACAACGGACAACCUUGUGGCACAACAAUUACUACUACCUUUCACCAAAACACAAUUACGUCGGACUACCUUGUGGUGUGGCAUGCCACCGUACACAUACUCAUUGCACACCCGCAUGUUGUUGCCCCCACGUUUUCUCUGACAACAAGACCGAGACCAACGACCAUGGAGACAUUGUUGUGGCUGAUACCAGCAAGAAUCUGGACUAAGAACCGGAUGAUCAACCAUAUGAUCUUUCCUCCUGUUAUCUUAUCCUUAGUCAAAGUGUGAGCUAGGAUAAUCUAACAGGCCAUGUGCUACUGCCGUCUGGCUCAGCCCAGUCUAUGUACAAUCUGCCAUCAUGUAACACAUUAGCAUUACCAUGUGUUCUGAUAUAAAUAUUGUUGUUCACUCAAGUAUUACAUCUAAAACUAUAUAUCUUAUCAAUUCCCCAGCGUUACUUAUACCGAGACCCCUGCCAAAGAUACGAGACAACAGGUGCUGUAUUGACAGCUUCAAAGAAGAUGCUUGAACUCAGAAUCCACCCAGUGUCUUCUCCCUGCCCCAUACAGUGUGUUGGCGAUAAACUUUUUCACCAACUAGAAGUCGACAGGAUAUGAGAACAAGUAACUCAUAAGGUGCGAUCUAUAAGAGGAGAAUACUUUUUAGUCGUAGUGGCACAAUGUGAUCUAUUCUCUUUCGGAUAGAAAUGUCUGUUGUCUUUAUAAUGCAAUGUGUGUGCCAAUGGUUUACAUGCAGUUUUGGAUUCAAGCACAUUAUGGUCUUGAGUAAAAAUAUUUUAUUGAGUUUACAUAAGUUAAGAUUCUAUGUAUAUUUAAGUUGGUGAAAAUAUCUUCCAUUUGAAUCUAUAUGGUUACAACGUCAUAUGCAGGUUUAGAAACUAUCGUACAAAUCAAAGUAUGAUUUAUGAUGAUUUCUAAGGAAGAUAGUUUCGGUUGAUUUUCCUGUUUUAAUUUACAAUGUGUGUCAUUGAUACCACCUACUAUUAUUUUUAAUGUACUGCGGUUAACUGCAAUCUCUUGAAAGUAAAGAAGGAAAAGAAACAUGUGACUGCCAAUAUUUUAUGGAAGGUAAUGCAUCUACAUAUUCACAUUCUUUAUGUUUUCAAUUCUCUAUAUUAUCUUCUUUGCUUCGGUGGUUGUUUUCUCUAUUGCCAGUUUACACACUAAGGUGAAAACAAUAAUCAAAAAAAUAAUUGUCCCAUCAAGACCAGUCUAAACAUGUAUUACAAUUUAAGUAGUGUAUCCUGUUUUUCCAUCGAAUUUUCCACCGGUCAGCCACGAUACUGGCGCGGCGUGCCGCCACGCCGAUCUUUGCUAGUAUACAUUAGUGCUGAUUCUGCAGGCCUUCCUUCAGUCUGGUUUUGUUGUGCUGGCUACAAAGUGCACUUUGCUAGAACGAAGCUUACCUUACAUACAUAUCACGCUGCACAUAAUGACGACUUCUCUGAAGACAUUGUGUUAUGAACCAUCAUACUUCUUCAUUUUGGGAAAUUAUCCUCUAAAGCCUAAUUUAAAAGCAUAACCAAAUCGGGAAACACAUCAGAUUGCAUAAUGGAGUGUAUGAUUAAUAGGAAGCAAUAAUACAUGUAAUCAGAAAAUUGUUAUCUGAGCUUAGUUGAAAUAUCUGACUUGUGAGGUGUUUGUUUAGGCAAUUUUUUAAUUCAAGCUUAUGAUGGUAGCCUGUUAUGCUUUUCUUAACUUCUAACAUUGACAUCUUCAAGUUAUUUUACUACAAAGUGAAGGGGAAAAAAGGCUUGUCACACAAAUAUGAGAAAUAAUCAGUGCUAUCUUGUAUAAUAUGUGUAGCUAAUCACAGUACUUGCGCAUCAAUACCUACUGCAGUUGGUGUGAAAAAUGUUAUCAAUGUGAAAUGCAUGGCAUGGAAGUUAAGGAUUGCAAGAAAAUCCUAUUUUGUGUUUAAUGUGGCAAAGAGACUCGCCAGCCUACAACAGCUCACCCGUGAGAACCUCUAUUUCCCUUUUGCUUUUACUAUGACAAGUGGAAAGUGAGUAUCCUUUUCUUGUGCUAAAUAUAUUUUAUUGUGCCCUCUGUUAUCAUUAUUCUGGGAUUUGGAUUGUUUGCUAUUUGACGUGCCUGGUGAUUGCAUGAUCAAGAGUUCAAGACAUGCUUGACUGACUGAGUGUUUAUAUUCUUGACGAUUUAAUAUAUGAUUUUCCUGAAGUGCCUUUCGCAUGUUCAUUCCAUGAUUAUUCUUAGAGAAGUUUAUCCUUUCAGAGGCAAGUGUAAACGUUUUCUUCGAGCUUCAUUUGAAAGUUUUAUAUGGUAUGAUUGUUUACUGUAUAUACUGUUAAGUGCCCUGUAUAGCAUGCUAGAAUACUUCAAGAGAUUUUCUUUCUUGACAUGUAAAAUUGUCCAUUUCUUUGUUGCAAGUAUUUUUGUUUUUUCAUUCUUGGUGCAAAACUAAAAUUAGCAGUUCAGUAUUUGGUGGGUUAAAUGGUAGAAGUUUGUCACUUGGAUCACCUCAAUCUGCAUGGCCUUUUACGGUUGCUCAUGGUGUUGUUGCCUAUUGUUGUCCAGUGCAGAUUGAGAAUGAGUAUGUGCCAGAAGAGAAAGAGUUUGGGGCCGCUGGCAAGUCAUAUAGUAACUGGGCGGCAAACAUGGCCAUGGGUGAUGUGCAAGCAGGAUGACGCUACGAAUCCAGUGGAGACCAUGGAACAAGGAAUAUGUGGUCAAGUAGAAAUGACACGAUUCUAAAUCUAGGAAGAUACUGAUUCAAAAUCUGGGAAGGCAAUAUUGUCUUUUGGCUGUUUCACCUGGUCGGAAUCAUAUCUGCACGGAAGGAGUAGAUGACAAGAUGCUGGCACUUCAUGCAUGCGGCUAAUUUUUUCUGACGCUGUACGUGCUGGAUUUGUCUGACCGUCGCACAGACGUGUGUUGUUGAUCCUAUAUUCCUAUGUAUGCACGACACUGAAACUCUAAGUGUAGAUGAUAGGUUGCGGGCGGCAGCAUCACUCGUCGUGCUGCUCAUGUCGCCGCCGGCACGUCCUCUCCUGACCAUUUGAGUUUUCCUUCGCACACAAAGUCGAGACCAACAGCAUACAUCGUUUGUUUUCGUGAUCUACGGCACGAACCAUUUUGCCCUUGCUCUCUCUCCCAGGCGGCGGGCAGCCAGAUCCCAUCUCCACCGGCGUGAGAUCUGGGCCCCUCUCCCU